GUCUACCCCUUAGAAUAUCUUCUCCGGACAUUGAAACAGAAAUCUAAUACUUGUACUCCUAUUUGUUUGAUUUGCAAGUUUGGCUCUUCUGUUACACUU
This is a small nucleolar RNA of Alnus glutinosa, 99 nucleotides long. Lineage: Eukaryota; Viridiplantae; Streptophyta; Magnoliopsida; Fagales; Betulaceae. The record is from RefSeq and is a predicted model, not a curated record.